Gallus gallus (chicken) is the source of this 733-nucleotide long non-coding RNA. RefSeq lists it as uncharacterized. The record is from RefSeq and is a predicted model, not a curated record. The transcript is spliced from 5 exons. NCBI's taxonomy places the organism in Eukaryota, Metazoa, Chordata, Aves, Galliformes, Phasianidae.
GGAUCUCUAUCCAGAGAUCACUCCUCUUGGAGCCCUUUGGUGAGCUCAGGACACAGAUUUGUGAGCUUUCUUUCAGGAACACAACUUUUCUUCCAUCACAUUUGUUUGGUUUUUACUUCCUGCUUGGGGAAGCUGUGGUACUGGAAGAUGAUGGCUCAUCUCCACAGAUGACAGCAGCACAGAUUCCAGUCUCUGAAUCUCUCCACCAUUCAUAUAUUGCAGUUACUGAAGAUUUGACUCUCAUGCUGUUGAUAAAGAAUAUCAUGUUUCUUGUGUGUAGAGCAGAGCAAUUGGUGCUGAAUGGCAUGGAAAAUAGCUACUGGAAAGCAGAGCCCUUUGGGGUUUCAAGAUGUGACAAGCAGGAACAACCUGACAUUGGGAGUGUCAGACACUGCAAAGACGACUGAACAUAAAUUAUGUAUUCCAGAGAGCCUUUGAUUUCACAGAUGUACGAAGGAUUUGGCAUAGUUGUCCUCUGGUGAUUAAAAUAUUCAAAUAGCCCAUAAUUUACUACUAAGGACUGAAAACUGGACUGGGAUUCAGAAAACCUGGAUUUCAUUUCUGAGUCUGUGUGAGCCUUGAUAGAGGACCUUGAGCAGUCGCUUCUCCGUCUUAUUUUUCUCUUCUAGAAAACUAUGUUUGACUCUACUGAUGAAAAGCAAAACAUAAUAGAUGUAAUUAUUAUGAUUUUUAUUUGUUGUAAAUAUUAUGCUGUACUUCAUAAAAUAUCUUU